RNAcentral lists this long non-coding RNA (4719 nucleotides) under Schizosaccharomyces pombe (fission yeast). Lineage: Eukaryota; Fungi; Ascomycota; Schizosaccharomycetes; Schizosaccharomycetales; Schizosaccharomycetaceae. The record is from RNAcentral.
UAUAAAGCAUUCAGAAACACUGUAUGCAUUAAAGGGUAAUUCCAAUUGAAAUAAGUGCCUUUUUUUGCAGAACUUUUAUCGAGUAAUAUUAAUUUUCCUUUCAUUUUAAAAAAAUAGUUUUGACUUCUAACCGCUUUUAGAAAUUUAGAGGUUCCAGUAAUAGAGAAAUCAAGUAUGAAACAACUUUAACGUUUAUACUAUUUCCUAAUAAGCGAUACAUACAUUUUUCGGUUACAUUAGACUUUGACCAUUCGAGGCUUUCCGGGAAUCCCAUUAACCUGGCGACUUCUCUGGCGGUAAAAUACCGAAGUUGUAAAGCCAUCCGGUUCCUCUCAAAUUGCUCGUGCGUAUUUUCAUGAUCUGACAUCUGCAAAAUUGAGCCUGCACCUUGUACUAAAUGUGUAUAUCCCCGUGUAAAGCAACAGCAGGAAGAGCUAUCUGGCUUAACUAUAUCAAACUGAUGGCCCCAUUUAUUUAACACAGACUCUAGUACCAUAUAUGAAGACCAAUCUCUUUCUAUCUCCAAAUAAUCUCUUAUUCUUUUUACUUCGCCUUCUUUUUGCGCUACCUCGCUAAAUUGAAAAACAUCAUCAAUACUCCAUUCUCCUUUGAAAUUGAGCCUAGCCAAUCCAUACCAUCUACUGCGAGAAUUAGGAAUGUUGAACUGGUUUGGACUCAAAAUACCUUCAAUUAGGUUGUAACCACAAUUCCUCAAAACUUUCCUGCACUCUUCAGCUGCCUUGCUCUCCUCAAAACCCUGAACAUUCUCAAUUAGAAUGUACUCAGGCAAAUUAUUUACAUGAGGAAGCACAUUUAAAAUAUUUAGAAAUGCUUGGGAACGAGGAUCAAGAAUAUCUUUACGGUUUCCUAUUCUAGUAAAAGGUUGACAACUGGGACUCAUAGUCCAUAAUUUACAGUCAAAUGCAUCAAAAUCCUUGGCCGUUAAAGUUGAAAUAUCCAUCUAUAAGUAUUAAUAUAGUUAUCGAGUAAAUCCUUGAAACAUACGUGUUUAGCAAGUUUUCCAUGAUUGAGGUUAUAAAUUUCAUUUGCCUGUGGGUUGAUAUCUAUUGCACACACAAUAUCAGCCGGUAUAUUUGCCAGGUUCAAUGCAUAGUGCAUACCUCCAAUACCAGAAUAUAGCUCCAGGACCCGUAAUCUUUUUGUACUAAGCAUUGAAUGUAACCGAGCAUGCAACACUCGGUAAUCGUUUAGUGAGGGUUACAAAAGACCUACCUGCAUUAGAUUUUUUGCUUGGAUUUGUUAAGCUUGAAAAGUCAUGAGCAUUUCGGGCCUUUUCAAAAACGAUAAAAUGUUUUUUAGUAUUAAAAGUAAUUAAUAUACAACAUGAUGACUUAAACAAAACUGUACGUCUUUUUGAAGCUAACUAAAUGAGAUCUUUUAAAAGUUUGUCCAUUAUUGUGAAACAUAAAUUCAUUAUGAUUAUAUACAACCAAAUCGCCUUUAAAACUAAUUUUCCUUUUCCACUCUUUUACCGCUUAUGUCGUUUUUGCGUCUUUUGCAAUUCUUCUAUAUUUUCUGGCUUGAAAUAAUGGGGGCUUAUUUCCAAGAGCCACUCGGGUUGUAUUUCAGUAAUUUGUCUGCAAUACUCCUUAGUUGUCAAAACCAAUUCAAAGUAAAUGAUGACUUUUGGCUUUUUCUCAGCUACAGAAGAACUAGGGUGAAUAUAAACGGUUUGAUUACUUUUAACAGUGCGAUAAGAAUCCCCACUACGAUCCAAGCGUGCAGCAUUAGAAAAAUAACCAGCUGUGAUAGCUUUCUUAAUAGGAUCAAGGGACUCUGAAGAAUUAGUUACCAAUUCAAUUUCCACCCGUUCACAGAGAUUGGCAAGUUGAUCACGAACAUCUCGAGCUCGACAUAAACUCUUAUACUGUAAAAAGUUUUCACGGGCCCAAUUGUACGAAAAGUCAGUAUCUACCCAUUCAUUCCAAAUAUGAAGAAGAGUUAAAUGAUCACCACCAGGUUGGGUAAAGUUCGCUCUAGCUUUAUCCGCUUCCAUUAUUUUGUCUUUUGGUCUAUAGAAUAAAGAGGAAGCCUCCCCUAACAUAGAAACAAUUGAUAACACUUCUUCAACACAUCCAUACUUUGAAGAUGCAAUCAAAGAUUUAGAAAGCAUAGGAUCUGUAGGAAACUCUGCCAUCUGCCUGCCGAGCUUAGUCAAUUCUCCUCUAUUGUUUAAGGCACCAAGCGCAUACAAUAACUCUAAUGAACGCAUCAACGUUUCAGGUGGUGGAGCAUCCAUGAAGUCGAAAUCUAAAAGAUUAUUAAUUCCUAGGGAUUUAAGCAAGAGAACAAUAUUUGUCAAAUUUGUUCUUUGAAUUUCAGGAGAUGUUACCAUAUCCAGUUCAUUGUUAUAUGUCCGACGCGUAUAUAAACGGAAGCACUUUCCAGGUCCUACUCGACCAGCACGGCCGGCACGCUGAUCAGCAGAAGCACGGGAGCAAGGCACAGAUACUAAGCUUUCCAUACCAGUCCUUGGAUUAUACAUGUUUUGUUUGACAAAUCCAGAAUCAAUCACAAAAUUCACUCCGUCAAUUGUUAUAGAAGUUUCAGCAAUAUUGGUUGCUAAUACAACUUUGCGGGCACCAGGGGGUGUAGGAUCAAAAAUUUUAGCUUGCAAUUCAGAAGGCAGAUUGGCAUAAAUCGGACAUAAAAUUAUUUCCGGAAUUCUUUUUCCUAGUAUCCGACAAAGUUCUUGCAUGUUUUCGGACAUUAAUUCAAUUUCAUCUUGGCCCGUUAAAAAAACUAAAAUAUCACCAGCAGGCUGGGUAGUAUGUAUUUGAAGAAUGGUUGUAAUAGCCGCUUGUAUAUAAUUUGCUUCAGGUUGCGGGGUGUAAUAAAUAUCGACUGGAUAUCUUCUGCCAGGAACAUAGAACACUGGAGCUUCAUCAAAGUAAGCCGAAAAUUUUUCGGCAUCUAUAGUAGCACUCGAAAUUAGAACCUUUAAAUCUGGACGAAAUCUAGCAAUAUCCUUUACAAGUCCAAAUAAAAUGUCUGUAUGAAGCGUUCUUUCAUGGGCUUCAUCUAUAAUAAUGACAGAAUAGCUUGCCAGGUCAGGUUCUGUUAAAAAUUCUCUGAGAAGCAUGCCAUCAGUCAAGUAUUUUAUGACAGUUUUUUCAGAAGUAGCAUUUUCAAAACGAAUGCUGUACCCAACUUCCUGUCCAAGCCGUACAUCCAUUUCCUUGGCAACCCUAGCAGCAACAGACAUUGCAGCAACUCUUCUUGGUUGGGUGCAGCAAAUUUUCUUAUUUCCUUUAGUAUAACCAGCUUCGUGCAGAAAUUGAGGAAGUUGAGUUGUUUUACCAGAUCCGGUCUCAGCCACAAUAAGCAACACUUGGUACUCAUUUAUUGCCUUCAAAAGAUCGUCCUUGUAUUGAUAAACAGGUAAACUUUUGCGAGAACUUUCUAAUGAUUUUUCAACUUUAACAUCAGUCAUCUUGUCAGUGUCAACAGGAUUCUCCGCAGAAAGCUUAGUAUCGAGUAAAAAAUCAAUCUGUUGCGAUUCGUCAAAUACGAAAUCAAAUUGCUUCUCUCCUGGAGGAAGCCAUUCGUUUUGAUCAAAAAGUAAUGCUUUAUUUAUUUGUUGAGCCUCCCACCGCUGUUGUUCGGCAGCUCCCAUCGUAACCUCGUUUUGCUCACCUUCAUUACUAUCCUUAUACCUUUGAUAUAAGACCUCCUCUUUUCGUUUUCUGUCCAAUUUUCCUUGCUCUGUAAAAUAGUCUUCAGGCAUUUGAUAUUCAGUGGCUUGUUUUUCCAAUCUCUGACGUUCUUCAGCAAUUCGAAGUAGUUCUUUUUUCUUUUCAAGCUCUCUAAUUUCUGCUUGCGUCAACUUCUCGCCUGCAAAAAGUUGCUCCUCAUCUCGAAUUUCUCUGCGAAGGAUUUCCAACUGUUGCUGAGCCCUAGGUUUAAGAUAUUGUUGCCGCGAUUUUUUUCGAAGUUCAGAAGCAAGUUUUCUCCAUGAUUCAGGAUCAUCUGCUAGUUUUCUAAGAGCUAGCUCUUCCGAAGAAAAUUUGGAUGAAUAAUCCUCCACAAAUUCAUUUGUUGCGGCUUCAAGGUCUUUACGUCUAAGACGCUCUUCAAAUUCUUCUCUUUCACGUAAAUCAUUGAGUCUUUCUGUCUCAGGAUCUGAGCUUUUUUCAUAAUCAUGAUUUUGAAAAUCGGUAGAAACUGAAUCUUCUUCUAUAGGAUGACUAGCACUUCCAUCCACUACCUCCUCAUACUCGUCACUCUCCCACUCAUCCUCAUCUCGUUGUCUCCUGGCUAUUUCUCGCUUAGGAGUUUUAGAACGGCUUUUUUUCUUCAAAGGCUUCCCAGGCGUCUCAUGAGAUUGAGGUUCUAUCAACAAAUCAUAACUUGAAUUCAAACGCUCCAUUUGUAAAAUCCCCUGUUCUUUUUUCUUUCUUGCAUUGUAGUUUUCUUUCGGUCUUGAGCCUUCUCUGGGUAUUCUAGCAUAAAGCGUAUGAGCAAAUUCUUUAACCGCAGGAUCAUCACCAUCCAUACCAAAACUGACGAGUUUCUGAUACAGGUUAUUAGAACUUGAAGAGCCCUUCGCUUCUGCAAUUAGGUAUUCUACCACGGAAGGUUCCGACAUUCCCAGUAGCGAAAUCGCUUUGUCAGACACAUAUUGCUCUAAAGACAUUUUGUAGGCGCAACCAGAAUAAUAUCACCAAAAAGCAAUGAAGCUAUUUUUGAAUAUAAACC